AACGCGAAGAACCUUACCUGGGCUUGAACUACUCGUGGUAGAUCGAUGGAAACAUUGGUCGACCCGCAAGGGAGCGAGCAGAGGUGCUGCAUGGUUGUCGUCAGCUCGUGUCGUGAGAUGUUGGGUUAAGUCCCGCAACGAGCGCAACCCCUACUCGAUGUUGCUAAUUCCGUAAGGAAUGCACUCUUCGAGAACUGCCUUCGAUAAGAAGGAGGAAGGUGGGGACGACGUCAAAUCCUCAUGGCCCUUAUGUCCAGGGCUACACACGUGCUACAAUGGCCGGUACAACGGGAAGCAAGGCCGCAAGGCGGAGCAAAACCCUAAAAGCCGGCCCCAGUUCAGAUCGUGGGCUGCAACUCGCCCACGUGAAGGCGGAAUCGCUAGUAAUCGCGAAUCAGCAGGUCGCGGUGAAUACGUUCCCGGGCCUUGUA
Molecule: ribosomal RNA, 431 nt
Filed under: uncultured Elusimicrobium sp.
Lineage: Bacteria; Pseudomonadati; Elusimicrobiota; Elusimicrobia; Elusimicrobiales; Elusimicrobiaceae
Description: bacterial SSU rRNA
Rfam family: Bacterial small subunit ribosomal RNA
Source: RNAcentral